This 427-nucleotide ribosomal RNA is filed under the name uncultured bacterium. Its description in RNAcentral is "bacterial SSU rRNA". It matches the Rfam family "Bacterial small subunit ribosomal RNA", at positions 355 to 776 of the family's 1533-position model. The record is from RNAcentral.
UCGAGAAUUUUUCUCAAUGGGCGCAAGCCUGAAGGAGCGACGCCGCGUGGAGGAUGAAGGUCUUCGGAUUGUAAACUCCUGUCAUUAGGGAACAAACCUUCCAAGUAACUACUGGAAGUCUGAUAGUACCUGAAGAGGAAGAGACGGCUAACUCUGUGCCAGCAGCCGCGGUAAUACAGAGGUCUCAACCGUUGUUCGGAUUCAUUGGGCGUAAAGGGUGCGUAGGCGGCGGGGCAAGUCAGGUGUGAAAUCUCGGGGCUCAACCCCGAAACUGCACUUGAUACUGCCUUGCUCGAGUACUGGAGAGGAGACUGGAAUUUACGGUGUAGCAGUGAAAUGCGUAGAUAUCGUAAGGAAGACCAGUGGCGAAGGCGAGUCUCUGGACAGUUACUGACGCUGAGGCACGAAGGCCAGGGGAGCAAACGGG